GACAAGCUUCUGGUGAUACGCGUACCAGCUUGGGCAAUACGCGUACCAACCUGGGCAAUACGCGUACCAGUCUGGGCAAUACGCGUACCAGAGGCUAUGUUACGUCCAAUACGCGUUUCAUACUAGGCAGUACGCGUAUGGGACAGCGCAGUACGCGUAUGGAGCACAAAUUCAGGAAAAAUCCAACUGAAUAGCUAUUAAGAGGCCAG
RNAcentral lists this long non-coding RNA (209 nucleotides) under Lathyrus oleraceus (garden pea). RNAcentral describes it as "Pisum sativum (pea) long non-coding RNA (PSAT_LNC033089)". Lineage: Eukaryota; Viridiplantae; Streptophyta; Magnoliopsida; Fabales; Fabaceae. The record is from RNAcentral.